GGGGUUGUACUGGUUUCGACGGGCUCACUGCAGAUGGAGAAGCUGUCCGUGGUCGGACACCACGUAAAAAGUUCGAUUUAAAAUUAAACGCUGAAGAUAAUUUAGCAUUAGCUGCCUAAGCGCAGCUCAUCGGUCUUAGCGCCCCGCCGCUAAGGUAGCCGGUGUCAUACCUGCGGGACACUCCGUUGUCAAAGCUUUGCGAUGACGGAAAAUCUAUGAAGCUACCAAAGAGCAUAGCCUGUUAGUGGGCGCUGCUUGGAGGGAAUGUUAAAACACUGACUAUGACAGUAGAAGUACAUUGAAUCUGGGUUCGGACCGGGGUUCGACUCCCCGCAGCUCCACUA
RNAcentral lists this transfer-messenger RNA (344 nucleotides) under Clostridium sp. It matches the Rfam family "transfer-messenger RNA". From Rfam's summary of the family: Bacterial tmRNA, also known as 10Sa RNA or SsrA, is named for its dual tRNA and mRNA-like properties. Its role is to liberate the mRNA from a stalled ribosome. RNAcentral also lists the same sequence under 3 other names. The record is from RNAcentral. Lineage: Bacteria; Bacillati; Bacillota; Clostridia; Eubacteriales; Clostridiaceae.